RNAcentral lists this transfer RNA (85 nucleotides) under Felis catus (domestic cat). It matches the Rfam family "tRNA". Rfam says of the family: Transfer RNA (tRNA) molecules are approximately 80 nucleotides in length. Their secondary structure includes four short double-helical elements and three loops (D, anti-codon, and T loops). The record is from Rfam by way of RNAcentral. Lineage: Eukaryota; Metazoa; Chordata; Mammalia; Carnivora; Felidae.
GCCUGGGUGGCUCAGUCGGUUGAGCGUCCGACUUCGGCUCAGGUCAUGAUCUCGCAGUUCGUGGGUUCGAGCCCCACAUCGGGCU